UAGGGGAUUUAUUUGGGUAAGGACAGAUAAAUGGUUUUAAGAGAAAAGUCUCAAACGUAUCAAAAGUUGCAAGUUCUACAAUAUAUGACUAAUGGUCCACUCAAACAAAGAAACACAAACAUGUAAUCUAUGAUAUAAAAGCCGCUCAAAUUCUCACAUAUCUAGAAGGGUAUGGUAUGUGACAUGCAUAAACUACUAGUUUCUUAGGCGGAUUAUUCCCAAAUAACCACCCACUAAAUACCCGUCAUGCUAUUAACUUGAACUUGACCAUGACAAAAGACCAAAUGGUUUGUGACAUCCCUCGUUGACUUAGUUACUUGUGCUUUUAAGAUCGCUUUUUUUAGACAAGAUAUUUUGAAAAAUUUUUGAAAUUUCCCCCCAAUCCCCACACUUGAGGUAAACAUUGUCCUCAAUGUGUAGUGUUUAAAUGAACGGGUCAAAAACGAAAAUUUUUACUACUCCCCCAUCCCCACACUUGAAGUACAUAUUGUCCUCAAUGUGUGAAAACUAGAGUAUUAGAUGCACAAGGGAUGUGACACGGCUAAUUCCCCCAAACUUUCACCCCGGAAAUUAAAUACAAAAAUACACUCCACUUAAUACUAAACUACGAAUCAAGGCAAAAGGAAACGCAUGCACCUGAUUUUUUUUUGUCGCUUGAUGCCCAUAUUUCCUUCUUCUCUUCACAAAACCGGUUGUCUCUCGAACAUCAUAUACCUACAAAUUCUAACCCUUGUGUAGAAGCAUGCUUCUCACAACCAUUGAAAUUUGUUAGGAUUGUAGUUCUACCGUUUUUAUAAAAGUAUUACCAAGUC
RNAcentral lists this long non-coding RNA (812 nucleotides) under Helianthus annuus (common sunflower). RNAcentral describes it as "hypothetical non coding rna". The record is from RNAcentral. Lineage: Eukaryota; Viridiplantae; Streptophyta; Magnoliopsida; Asterales; Asteraceae.